Molecule: long non-coding RNA, 350 nt
Filed under: Sinocyclocheilus grahami
Lineage: Eukaryota; Metazoa; Chordata; Actinopteri; Cypriniformes; Cyprinidae
Description: lncRNA (ENSSGRG00000041657.1)
Source: RNAcentral
CGCGUGAAAAAGCUGGAUUUCUAGCAGAUCGCGCUCACAGCCAUUUAAUCCUGUAGCGCAAUGUCACGCGACCUCACAGCGUUUGAAUCAGAUGCGUUUGAAGUUGAUAGGGGCAGGUGCUGGCGGUGUCAACGUUACAGGAUUUUAAUUGACUUUCGGAGAUGAGCUGGACUGGAGUAUAAAGGAACCACCAAAUGCUAUCAAGAACUCAUCAGCCCAGACGUUUUGUCCAUGCGUGAGCUGUGUAAAGUGGGUUCGUAUUCAAUUGGUCCCUUGAUGUCACAUUGGACAGAUACUUGGAUGGAAAAUGGGGAUCCCCUCUGGAAAUACCUCCCAAGAAAGACGUACAC